GCCUCUAUGGCUCAGUGGUAGAGCAGCUGCCUAGUAAGCAGCAGGUCCUGGGUUCAAAUCCCAGUAGAGGCU
This 72-nucleotide transfer RNA is filed under the name Candidatus Woesearchaeota archaeon. RNAcentral's name for it is "tRNA-Thr". It matches the Rfam family "tRNA". From Rfam's summary of the family: Transfer RNA (tRNA) molecules are approximately 80 nucleotides in length. The record is from RNAcentral. RNAcentral also lists the same sequence under 1 other name. Lineage: Archaea; Nanobdellati; Candidatus Woesearchaeota.